GAUGUAAAAACUAUGCUUUCUAAAUGUGAAAGGAAAAAAAAAAUCUUUAGCAGAGAUAAAAGUGCAUUGGCCAUUCUAAUCUCAAUACCAGAGGACUCAUACUUAAGAGUUUCCUACGACUUAUACAGAUUCCCUUUUCCUCUGAGGAGUGUAAUUAUGAGAAUCAGGAAUAAUAUUUUCAAAUUGUCACAUAAAUAUUUCUGACAUUCCACACUCUAUGGAUUUUGUACACACACAACUCUGACCUUCUUCUGGACUUUAGGAUCAUACUUCCAAGGAGGCUAGGGAGAAGAUGAAUUGAUAAAUAUGUAAAGCAGUGAACAGUUCAUUGGGGAUGCACGUUUUCAUAAAAGGACACAUCCCUUCUCCUUACAUUAUGUUCUGGAGGAUGAGACAUGGGAACAUCCUAGCCCAGCUAUCACCUGACUGCAAUGGUAUGACAGACUUCAAGUGAAACCAGAAGAACUGCCCAGGUGAGCCCCAGUCAAUCCAUAGAAUCAUGAGAAAUAAUAAAAUUAAUAGCUAUUGUCUUAUAUCAUUUUAGGGUGAUUUGUUAUGUAGCAAUAACCAAAAUAGUCAAUCAUGUUA
Long non-coding RNA from Acinonyx jubatus (cheetah), 588 nucleotides. RefSeq lists it as uncharacterized. The transcript has 4 exons. The record is from RefSeq and is a predicted model, not a curated record. Lineage: Eukaryota; Metazoa; Chordata; Mammalia; Carnivora; Felidae.